Long non-coding RNA from Oncorhynchus tshawytscha (Chinook salmon), 1263 nucleotides. Lineage: Eukaryota; Metazoa; Chordata; Actinopteri; Salmoniformes; Salmonidae. The record is from Ensembl.
CCAUCUUUUAAUUCAGUCUGUGAUGACGCCUGAACGACAUGUCCCUCCGGGAAUUUAUUAGUGUUUCCUCAAACAAACAAACAAACAGGUUUACAUUUCAUCUGCUCUUUGGGGGAACGUCUCAAAUGGCACCCUAUCCCCUAUAUUCCUAUUCCCUAUGUAGUGCCCUACUUUAGACAAGAGCCCUAUUCCCUAUGUAGUGCACUACUUUCGACCAGGGCCCUAUUCCCUAUACAGUACACUACUUUAGACCAGAGUGUCAAUGGCUUUGAAGAAGUAGUGCACUACUUUAGACCAGAGUGUCAAUGGCUUUGAUCAGAAGUAGGGCACUACUUCAGACCAGAGUGUCAAUAAGACGUAGUGCACUACUUCAGACCAGAGUGUCAAUAAGACGUAGUGCACUACUUCAGACCAGAGUGUCAAUAAGACGUAGGGCACUACUUUAGACCAGAGUGUCAACGGCUUUGAUCAGAAGUAGUGCACUACUUUAGACCAGAGUGUCAAUAAGACGUAGUGCACUACUUCAGACCAGAGUGUCAAUAAGACGUAGUGCACUACUUCAGACCAGAGUGUCAAUAAGACGUAGGGCACUACUUCAGACCAGAGUGUCAAUAAGACGUAGUGCACUACUUCAGACCAGAGUGUCAAUAAGACGUAGUGCACUACUUCAGACCAGAGUGUCAAUAAGACGUAGGGCACUACUUUAGACCAGAGUGUCAAUAAGACGUAGUGCACUACUUUAGACCAGUGUCAAUAGGAAGUAGUGCACUACACAGGGAACAGGGCACCAUUUGAGACGCUCAAACCAAAACAUGAUUACACGGUGUUAAGAAAUGUAGAAAAAAACCAACACAGAAAUCCUUUUGGCAUGAGGAUAAAAGCCUUUUUAAGCCAGAGAGGAGUGUAAAGUAAGGCAGUAACUGUCCUUCAUCAAAUUAUAUUAUUACAUAAACAACAUUUUGUUAAUCUAUUGAAUCCUUUUUGGUUAGUUUGUUGUCGUUUUUCACACAGGGGCUGUUGUUGUAUAAAUAUGACCAGUAUGUGCACUUUCAAACAUUCACGUUUAUAUAAAAAAUAAACAUAAACAGUUUCACUUAGACAACAGCCACAGAAGACAUCACCAGGGAAACUGGGCUACAGUGAGAGAUGGCAGCCAUUUUGGAUCUGUUUUAAACAAGGGUCCCUCAUGUCCUUCAGGGGGUACCUAGGUUUAUGCCUGAUUGAAAAAGAGCUUAAAUUAUUUUUUACUUCAGUGAUCCUUUU